Long non-coding RNA from Amblyraja radiata (thorny skate), 389 nucleotides. RefSeq lists it as uncharacterized. The transcript is spliced from 3 exons. The record is from RefSeq and is a predicted model, not a curated record. NCBI's taxonomy places the organism in Eukaryota, Metazoa, Chordata, Chondrichthyes, Rajiformes, Rajidae.
CAGGGUUUAGGGGCCGUUGCUGUGGAUGGAGAGACGGGAGCGUGAGCGGCCAUUGAGGGUGGACAGGGUGCUGGUGAGCAACCCCCAUCUGCUCGGUGUGCGGGCUGAGCUUCGAUGGAGGACCAAAUGAUGGGGCACAACAAGGAGAAGCGUUAUGUGUGCGACGUGUGUGGCAAGGCCUGGCAGUACCCAUGCCAUCUGGAGACCCACCGGCGGGUGCACACAGGAGAACGCCCCUUCGACUGCUGGGAGUGCGGCAGGAGCUUCAAGACGGCGCAGGUACUGAAGACCCACCGGCUGAUGCACACAGGAGAGCGCCCCUUCAGUUGCUCCGACUGCGGCAAGAGCUUCAAGACGCCGCAGGAGGUGAAGAUCCACCGGCGGGUGCA